This 561-nucleotide ribosomal RNA is filed under the name uncultured bacterium. Its description in RNAcentral is "bacterial SSU rRNA". It matches the Rfam family "Bacterial small subunit ribosomal RNA", at positions 344 to 916 of the family's 1533-position model. The record is from RNAcentral.
GGAGGCAGCAGCAAGGAAUUUUCGGCAAUGGGCGCAAGCCUGACCGAGCAACGCCGCGUGGAGGACGACGGCCUUCGGGUUGUAAACUCCUUUUGCGGGGGAUGAUCGUGACCGUACCCCGCGAAUAAGGCUCGGCUAACUCUGUGCCAGCAGCCGCGGUAAGACAGAGGAGCCAAGCGUUGUCCGGAUUGACUGGGCGUAAAGCGCACGCAGGCGGUCGUGCACGUGGGGUGUGAAACCUGGCCGCUUAACGGCCAGACGCCACCGCAUACGGCGCGACUUGAGAGUGGCAGAGGUUCGUGGAAUUGCCGGUGUAGUGGUGAAAUGCGUAGAGAUCGGCAGGAACACCAAGGGCGAAAGCAGCGAACUGGGCCAUAUCUGACGCUCAGGUGCGAAAGCGUGGGGAGCGAACCGGAUUAGAUACCCGGGUAGUCCACGCCGUAAACGAUGAAUACUCGGCAUCUGGUGGCCGAUUUUCGGCGGCCGGGUGCCCCAGCUAACGCGGUAAGUAUUCCGCCUGGGAACUACGAGCGCAAGCUUAAAACUCAAAGGAAUUGACGG